UUCCAAUUUUUUAUUCUGAAG
RNAcentral lists this non-coding RNA (21 nucleotides) under Caenorhabditis elegans. The record is from RNAcentral. Lineage: Eukaryota; Metazoa; Nematoda; Chromadorea; Rhabditida; Rhabditidae.